RNAcentral lists this microRNA precursor (60 nucleotides) under Columba livia (rock pigeon). Its description in RNAcentral is "Cli-Mir-147_pre stem-loop". It matches the Rfam family "mir-147 microRNA precursor family", at positions 11 to 68 of the family's 78-position model. RNAcentral also lists the same sequence under 1 other name. Lineage: Eukaryota; Metazoa; Chordata; Aves; Columbiformes; Columbidae. The record is from RNAcentral.
GUGGAAUCACUUCUGCACAAACUUGACUACUGAAAUCAGUGUGCGGAAAUGCUUCUGCUA